UUUAUCAGACUGAACGUAGGAAGCUACAGCUGAGCUUGUCUGACAGCUUUCCUUUUAUAUCCCUAACAUGUAGCUCAUCCUGUCCUGAACUAGACAUCGAACAACACAUCUAAAUCACGCUCCAAAGCAAAGUAAAGGUCCUGGGGAUUUUUUUGGUGUUCCCACCCCCCUCAGUUUCAAGGCAUGAAGCUGAACUGAGAGGGAAAGGGGCGCUUGUUCCCAGUGGGUAAAGAAAGGAAGGCUGAAAUUAAGGAUUUUCUCCAGUGAUAGUACUCCCCAGGCGGCAAACCCCACCUCUGAGUUUCCAGUAAACCUACCAGCACUACAAAGCAAACAAAUCAGGAAACGUCAAGGUGUAUUUACUCUCCUGUUAACCUGCUGGCCCUCUCCCUCUCUGGCACACGUUGGCGGCACGCAAGGGUGCACCCCGAUGCUGCGUCCCGGGAAGGGGGCAUGGCUGCGAGCCUGGCUGCGGAGAGGUGACCGAAUGAGGACCUGGCUCCCAACUCCCGCUCUCCGGCUGUCGCAGCGUGGAAAAGGGGUGCUGGAGGGGAGCCUGUGUUGGGAACAGCGGUGCUCAGGGGCUCUGCCAGCCCUUUGUGCUCUCUGCUCUCAGCCAGGGAGAAAAUUGGUUGUAAAGGAGAACUUGCACACACCUGUCUGCACCUGAAGCUGGAGGAGCUUAUGUUAGAGGUCACCCAGACUUGACUGCUGUCAAAUAUUGCCUGCAAGUGAGAUGGGUUUCCUGAAUGCUUUACUUGGUGACACAUCCAGAAUCUCUGGGAAGAGCUUUUUCAAAUAAGCUUGUCCUCAAGCUUUUUGCAGGUCUCUUUUCUUUUUUUUCUUUUUUUUCCUUCUUCCUUCUUAUAAAGAGAAUUAGGCAAUGACAGCAUUUUGAUGAAGUUGCUUCUUAGCCUCUUGCUUCAUAGCACGUGGCCUUCCUGAACAAUCAAGGAAAUGCUGAUAAAUUGGGUGUAGGAGUCUUGCCUGCCGUUCCUUUCCUCAUCUUAUGUUCCUCUUUCCGCUGCCCUUGGAGCAUGUCCUGUCCCUAGUUGCUCUGUUAAUUUGUCUAUACUUACAACACACUGUACAUAAACCACAACUGGGCGCAUUUUGCUCUGAUUAAAAUCAUGCUGUGUAAAAGAAAAUACAAAUUAGCUCUGGCCUUUGGGCUCCUGACAAGUUUCCAGCAGCACUUUCAGUAGCACAGAGAUUGUGUAACUCCGUGUCCUCCGUGCAGUGACGUCUCCUCCUCCGUCAUGAGCUGGGCUGGCUGCUGCACAUCCAGGUUCAGCUGUUAAUACUUCAAGCAGCUUUUAGCACUGAAGGAGGUAGGCAGAGAGGUUGCCAGCAACUGGGUGAAACGCAGGAACAUGCUGUUUCUUGGUAGGGGACAAUGAUGUGGGAAGGGGUAAAAGGAAGAGGAUUUCCUGGGUAAUUCCCCAAAUCUUGAUGAUUGUGCAAAUACCUCCCGGUCUAAUGUGUCCCGAGUGACUGGGGUGCCCAGCGCAGGGAGAGCUAAUGCUCCAGUACAGGAUUAACCCUUGAAGGAAGAGUACAGUAGCAUCUUAUACAAACGAUGGCUUAAGUUUGCCAGAUUUUUUACGCAACGAAGCACAAGGCGCUUUCCUGCCUCCUCCAGGGAUUCAAGCUGGGUACACUAUGUUGCAUCAUUUCAGCAUUGCUAACAGAAGGGCUGAGGCUGCAGCUAUUGCGUCGCAUUUUCAGUGGAAACCUUUAAGUCUCGGUGACUUCCUCUAAGGAUGCUGAACCAAACACCAUCCAGACCCGCAAGUGAACGAGCUGCAAAUGACGUCACUGGUUCGAAAUGGCGCGUGGGCAUGAUGUGGGCGAAUGUUCCCUGAGCUGGGUGUUUUCUAAAGUCUCGAUUGCUGCUGGGUAUCAUCUCCGGUAUUUGUUUAACCAGCCGUGCCCUGCUGGGUGACAGUCACCGUCCUCUAACUGAUGGGUGUGAGUUCUCCCCCUCUUCCCAAGAGACAAGAAGGCAUAUUUGUGGGUAUGUGUAUGUGGUUCGGCCAGUACAUGGAAGUGACAGAAGUCCCCUAAAAUUUCCCUUUCUCCCUUCUAGCAACCUCCCUGCCCUGCUCCCCCUUCUUUAUCCUCCCUGUGUGCCACCUACAGCAUAUGGCAUGUGCUUUGGGACAUGCACGAGGUCAGGCACGGGCUGUGGAUGCUUUUAUUGUGGCAAUGAUGAGCACUCUCUUCUCCCAUCCCCUCUGCUGCUGAGCAGAAUGCUGUUGGUCAUGUCCUUGAUAAGAACAGAUUGCUUGCUAAGACCCUUACCUGUAAUCAUAGCCCAGCAUCCCAGAGCCAUCAAUAAACCAUUUUUUCCCUGCUGAUACACGCCCUCAGCCCACCAUGAACCUUGCUGAAGAUCUGGGAAUGGCUAGACAAUAAGAGACUUGUGGGUGAAGGAUAUUGUAUGGUGAGGGUUUUCUUUCUUUCCUGGAUAACGAGGUCCAAAUGCUUUUUCAGAAGGGUGAAAAUGAAGGGCUUCCUAUUCUAAGGUGAGCUGAGCAACUGAGUGCUUCCGUGCCAAAGUGUGUGAAGGAGGAUCACUAAAAAUGCCUCUAACUUUUCAAGUGGACAGAAGAGGCUGAGUAGCUAGGUUUAGGGAGAAAAUAAGAGACCUAUAGAGAUAAGAUUAGGGGACAGAAAAAUGUUUCCUUUGGUUCUGUGGUUAUGAUAACCGCCCAGGUAGGGCUUCUGUUUGGGAGAUCAGAAGAUGAUGAGCCUACAGAUGCAUUUUAUAGAGUGCGCAGGGUGAAAUGAAUUCCAGACACCCUGCUUUUUUGAUCUCUAACAGUAACUUUAACCACACAAAAAUUCCCACACUCAACCCCUAGUGACAGCCUUGGCUAAUGUGACCUGUACUUAGCACCAUGACCCAAACCCCACUACUGGCCCCCACAACAGUGAGCCAUACCCAACCCAUAGUUCAUUAUAAGCCACAUGCAUAAGCAUGUAUUGUAGUGCUAGGGGUCUGUAUCAUCUUCUUAUCAUUCUAGUUCCUCAGUCCUAAGCUCUAUUCCCUAUUCCUGACACUUUUUCUAGCCUUCACUGCCCACUCCUGGCAAUAAUUCACCCCAGACUUUAGGUCCAGCACAUCGAUCAUCACUCCAGACCUCACGGGAAGCAAUGUGAUUUGUUUAGCUCAAGUGCCUUUGCAGCCCUGUCCCAGAAUGACAAGAACCGGGUCCUAGAUCUUAUCGCAUCUCUGCAAUCCUCACGUUAUUCAGGAAUAAUCCUAGACUUUCAGCCCUUUUUAUCCCAAAGCCUGAUUCCAGCUUUAGACAUAAACUAUCACCCAACACCCCCCCAAACACAACCCGAAGCUUCUGCCUCGCCGAGUACCAGCAAUCAUCGGGCUUGUCCAGAGGAGCAUAGAAAGUGGUGGUGCUCCUUGGUGUUGUGGUCUCUAACCCUAACUUUAGUGUUACAAACCUGCUGCUCUAUACAUACGGGCCUAUACCUCUGACUGCCAGAGCUGCUCACCCCUGCCAGCCCCUGCCCUCUGUGUUCCUAAGGUCUUUGCUGGAGUCCGGGCACAGGGCUGGGGGCACCCAGUGGUGCUGGGUGUGGAGGUGGGAAGUUGUGUUUGUCAGGAUUUGUGCUCGACAGGGCAGGACACGUUUUGGUGGAGGUUAGGGUGGAAAGAUCUUUCUUUUGGGGGGGGUGUGUGGCUUUAAGGAUCAACUGGCUUGUUCCAGCUGCUGAGGGGAUGGUAGGCUGGGUGCAACCUAGAGCGUGGGGCAAGAGGGAGCGUGAAAGUGUCUGUACAGCAGUGACAGAGCAGGGAGGCAUGCUAUCACAGAGAAAAGGCAGUGGGUCAGGGAUGAUUAGCAAAGCCUGAGAACGGCUGAUGUGUUUCAGUGGCCCUGCUCCUUUCUUUAAACAAGCCUCAUUGCUCCUGCCUGCUUACUUCUCACUGCACUUCCACUGGUUCUUCAUCACUGUCCCCACCCCUUGCCCUCCUGCCUCUGGAUCUCCAGAGCUACUUGCUCCUCUAGAGCUGGUUCUUCAGCCUCCCCAGCCCCGUGGCACUGCUGCCUCACCUUCUUUUGGCAGCCACAUCUCAUCCAGGGGCCAAGCAUAUGAACCCAGCGUUGCUUAUUACAAGGCGCUCUGCACCCCGUAUUUCACGUUGGCAUGUCUUGCUGGUCGGGAGCUGAGGACGGAGAGGGCUGUAGCUCCAGGUGUCUCCAGGUGCCAAUGUAUUGCUGUGAAUAAUGAACUUGCUUCUGAAGGUUUUUGGGGAUUGGGCUGUAAACUGGCUUCAUUCAUUUGUUUACUUUCAAGGUUGGUAUUGCAAUUUUUUUGUUUCUAAACUGCAUUUAAUAAGACUGUCAUAUAAAAGCUCUCCAAGUUCCUGGGAAGAAAACUUAUUAAAAGUGGGUUUGUCAUCCUUACAGUGUGCGGUCUUUGGCUUUUCUGAACUUUUGCUGUGUUACAUUCAAGAAUAGUUUAGUGUAGUUGGAAAGAAAGCUUGGAAAGAAAAAAGCUGAUGAAGAGCAGAUCAGACUGAGAGGGCGACGGAGCUGGUUUAUGCUUCUGUUUUUUGCAGCAGAGGAAGUAGGUAUUCCCCACCUGCUUAAGGAGUGCCCACAGCAGACUGAAUCACUAGCACACCUUGUUCUGAGAGGAAUCACAGCAGCAAAAGGACGUUGUUUGUGGCAACAAAGAAAGUGCUUAUUAAAUGGCAAGCUUUGCUUUGCGUGCUUAAGGUCGCGACUUCUUUCUUUUCCAAAAAACCCUAAGUUUGUUGCAUUAAUCAAGGCUGGUGAAGGGAAGGUCCCCACAGAGUGCCGAGACCAGCCUGCUUCCUCAUUCUUUGCACUCUCAUCAUUGGGCAACUUUCUUCUAUGUCAGGUGAAAACUUCCUCAUCCGAUCCAGUAACGCUGGACUCACUCUGAAGAAAACAAGGUCUCCUCCCCAUGUAACGCAUGUUAGGCAGCCUCACCCCACCUCUUAGGGGAAUACCCAACGGUGUGCUUCACCAUGGUGAUUAAGAGACCUCCUGAAAUACAACGUGUAUUUUUUAUGGCCACUUUGGAUAAAGUUACUGCUGCAGCUGGUAACUGCAACUUCAAGAUAAAACCCGCCACCUGACAACCUAAGAAACAGCAAACUAAGGAGCAAGGAAUUGUUCGUUUUUUUCAGACUCCAGCAUGGCUAUGUAUACUGAUGCUUCAUUGCACAUACACAGAGUAACAACUUUAACAGUUGUCUCUUAGUAGUUGUUAUGUUAUCUGUAAUUAUUUCUGCAAGAGCUCGCAGGCCCUACUGUUAAUAUGCAUCUUCCUGGGGGUGCUUUUGAAUCAGAUUAAUAAAGGAAACCAAUAUUUUUCAUAAAAAAGCCUCUUGAUAUGUAUUAUUUCCAGAAACGCACCUUACUGGUGUUUUUUACCCCUAUUAAGCUUAACAUCAGCUUUUUAGAGGACCGAAGCGGCCACAUUCAGAGUUGCUGAAAUACUGGGAUGUGCUGGAAAACAAGAGUCCUGAAACACCCACUACCAACAUCCUGCAUGUCAGAACCACACGCACUUUCUAAAUAGGUCAGGGUUUGGUCUAAGAAUCUGGUAUUUCUUGAAGACGUCCUUUACAUUUCCUAUACUUCUCUACUUCAUUCAGUCACAUAGCCUGUGUGCUGGAUUUCUUUGUUUUACGUUUCUUUGCUGCCAAAUCAUCAUCUCGUGUUGCUGUCUUAUAUAAAUGUUAACGUUAGCUAGCUUCACAAUAACAGCCUGGAAAGGAAACAUUUACUUCUGAGUUUUCCCCUGCCAAAAAAACCUACAGCGUGGUUUUUUUGGUGGCUACUGGUGGUUAAGGGUAUGGGAUGUAAAAUGAUAAUGCUGUAUGCAUGGUUAGUCUAUUACGGUUAUGAUCACCGUAACAUGCACUUCAACAUAUUUAUUGUUUCACUUUU
RNA transcript from Grus americana (Whooping crane), 5948 nucleotides. RefSeq lists it as uncharacterized. The record is from RefSeq and is a predicted model, not a curated record. The transcript is spliced from 2 exons. Lineage: Eukaryota; Metazoa; Chordata; Aves; Gruiformes; Gruidae.